UAUGGUGAAUUGCUGAUGAACCAAUCACAUGCUGGAUUAAAAUUAGAUAAUUAAAUAGAUAUAUACAUCAUAUAAUCAUCUAAGAAAAAAAAUGAUUUCAAAGACAACUUUCGUAUGCAUCCUCAUGGUCUCCCUCUUUGCCAUAGGUCGAUGCAGGCAGUUGGAUGUGGGUGAAAUAAAGAGUUCAAGCAACUUCAUUUUUGAAAAGUGUGUCCGUGACCGUUGUGGAAAAGAGGAGUGUUGGUGCUGUGUGGUUGAUCCACUUCGUCCUUGUAAGAAAACCGAUAAAGAAUGCAAUGCCGAUGGCAAAUGUCCUAUACCAUGGAGUUAAUGAAUAAUUUAGUAAAAUAAAGAUAACUGUUA
Molecule: long non-coding RNA, 363 nt
Organism: Brassica napus (rape)
Lineage: Eukaryota; Viridiplantae; Streptophyta; Magnoliopsida; Brassicales; Brassicaceae
Exons: 2
Source: RefSeq, a predicted model, not a curated record